RNAcentral lists this ribosomal RNA (465 nucleotides) under uncultured bacterium. RNAcentral describes it as "partial 16S ribosomal RNA". It matches the Rfam family "Bacterial small subunit ribosomal RNA", at positions 28 to 507 of the family's 1533-position model. The record is from RNAcentral.
GAUGAACGCUGGCGGCGUGCUUAACACAUGCAAGUCGAACGGAAAGGCCCAAGCUUGCUUGGGUACUCGAGUGGCGAACGGGUGAGUAACACGUGGGUGAUCUGCCCUGCACUUCGGGAUAAGCCUGGGAAACUGGGUCUAAUACCGGAUAGGACCACAUUUUGGAUGGUGUGGUGGAAAGUUUUUCGGUGUGGGAUGAGCUCGCGGCCUAUCAGCUUGUUGGUGGGGUAAUGGCCUACCGAGGCGUCGACGGGUAGCCGGCCUGAGAGGGUGUACGGCCACAUUGGGACUGAGAUACGGCCCAGACUCCUACGGGAGGCAGCAGUGGGGAAUAUUGCACAAUGGGCGCAAGCCUGAUGCAGCGACGCCGCGUGGGGGAUGACGGCCUUCGGGUUGUAAACUCCUUUCGCUAGGGACGAAGCGCAAGUGACGGUACCUGGAGAAGAAGCACCGGCUAACUACGUG